UACGUAGGGCGCAAGCGUUGUCCGGAAUUAUUGGGCGUAAAGAGCUCGUAGGCGGUUUGUCGCGUCUGCUGUGAAAGCCCGGGGCUCAACCCCGGGUCUGCAGUGGGUACGGGCAGACUAGAGUGCAGUAGGGGAGACUGGAAUCUGCGUAGGCGGUGAAAUGG
Molecule: ribosomal RNA, 164 nt
Filed under: uncultured bacterium
Lineage: Bacteria
Description: partial 16S ribosomal RNA
Rfam family: Bacterial small subunit ribosomal RNA
Source: RNAcentral